RNAcentral lists this ribosomal RNA (440 nucleotides) under uncultured bacterium. Its description in RNAcentral is "partial 16S ribosomal RNA". It matches the Rfam family "Bacterial small subunit ribosomal RNA", at positions 338 to 795 of the family's 1533-position model. The record is from RNAcentral.
CCUACGUGAGGCAGCAGUGGGGAAUAUUGCACAAUGGGGGAAACCCUGAUGCAGCGACGCCGCGUGAGUGAAGAAGUAUUUCGGUAUGUAAAGCUCUAUCAGCAGGGAAGAAAAUGACGGUACCUGAUUAAGAAGCACCGGCUAACUACGUGCCAGCAGCCGCGGUAAAACGUAGGGGGCAAGCGUUAUCCGGAUUUACUGGGUGUAAAGGGAGCGUAGACGGCAGCACAAGUCUGGAGUGAAAUGCCGGGGCUUAACCCCGGAACUACUUUGGAAACUGUGCAGCUAGAGUGCAGGAGAGGUAAGUGGAAUUCCUAGUGUAGCGGUGAAAUGCGUAGAUAUUAGGAGGAACACCAGUGGCGAAGGCGGCUUACUGGACUGUAACUGACGUUGAGGCUCGAAAGCGUGGGGAGCAAACAGGAUUAGAUACCCCUGUAGUC